Molecule: ribosomal RNA, 950 nt
Filed under: uncultured beta proteobacterium
Lineage: Bacteria; Pseudomonadati; Pseudomonadota; Betaproteobacteria
Description: bacterial SSU rRNA
Rfam family: Bacterial small subunit ribosomal RNA
Source: RNAcentral
AGGGUUUGAUCAUGGCUCAGAUUGAACGCUGGCGGAAUGCUUUACACAUGCAAGUCGAACGGUAACAGCAGAGCUUGCUCUGGCUGACGAGUGGCGGACGGGUGAGUAAUAUAUCGGAACGUGUCCAAUAAUGGGGGAUAACUAGUCGAAAGGCUGGCUAAUACCGCAUACGCCCUGAGGGGGAAAGCUGGGGAUCUUCGGACCUAGCGUUAAUGGAGCGGCCGAUACCUGAUUAGCUAGUUGGUGGGGUAAAAGCCUACCAAGGCAACGAUCAGUAGCUGGUCUGAGAGGACGACCAGCCACACUGGGACUGAGACACGGCCCAGACUCCUACGGGAGGCAGCAGUGGGGAAUUUUGGACAAUGGGGGCAACCCUGAUCCAGCCAUUCCGCGUGAGUGAAGAAGGCCUUCGGGUUGUAAAGCUCUUUCGCAAGGGAAGAAACGAUAUAGGUUAAUAGCUUAUGUUAAUGACGGUACCUUGACAAGAAGCACCGGCUAACUACGUGCCAGCAGCCGCGGUAAUACGUAGGGUGCAAGCGUUAAUCGGAAUUACUGGGCGUAAAGCGUGCGCAGGCGGUUUUGUAAGUCAGAUGUGAAAUCCCCGAGCUCAACUUGGGAACUGCGUUUGAAACUACAAGACUAGAAUAUGUCAGAGGGGGGUAGAAUUCCACGUGUAGCAGUGAAAUGCGUAGAGAUGUGGAGGAAUACCAAUGGCGAAGGCAGCCCCCUGGGAUAAUAUUGACGCUCAUGCACGAAAGCGUGGGGAGCAAACAGGAUUAGAUACCCUGGUAGUCCACGCCCUAAACGAUGUCAACUAGUUGUUGGUGGAGUAAAAUCCAUGAGUAACGUAGCUAACGCGUGAAGUUGACCGCCUGGGGAGUACGGUCGCAAGAUUAAAACUCAAAUGAAUUGACGGGGGCCCGCACAAGCGGUGGAUUAUGUGGAUUAAU